Molecule: ribosomal RNA, 253 nt
Filed under: uncultured bacterium
Lineage: Bacteria
Description: partial 16S ribosomal RNA
Rfam family: Bacterial small subunit ribosomal RNA
Source: RNAcentral
UACAGAGGGGGCAAGCGUUGUUCGGAAUUACUGGGCGUAAAGGGCGCGUAGGCGGCCUUCUAAGUCGAACGUGAAAUCCCCGGGCUCAACCCGGGAACUGCGUCCGAGACUGGGGGGCUUGAAUCCGGGAGAGGGAUGCGGAAUUCCAGGUGUAGCGGUGAAAUGCGUAGAUAUCUGGAGGAACACCGGUGGCGAAGGCGGCAUCCUGGACCGGCAUUGACGCUGAGGCGCGAAAGCCAGGGGAGCAAACGGG